AUUGAACGCUGGCGGCAUGCCUUACACAUGCAAGUCGAACGGCAGCACGGGUGCUUGCACCUGGUGGCGAGUGGCGAACGGGUGAGUAAUACAUCGGAACAUGUCCUGUAGUGGGGGAUAGCCCGGCGAAAGCUGGAUUAAUACCGCAUACGAUCUACGGAUGAAAGCGGGGGACCUUCGGGCCUCGCGCUAUAGGGUUGGCCGAUGGCUGAUUAGCUAGUUGGUGGGGUAAAGGCCUACCAAGGCGACGAUCAGUAGCUGGUCUGAGAGGACGACCAGCCACACUGGGACUGAGACACGGCCCAGACUCCUACGGGAGGCAGCAGUGGGGAAUUUUGGACAAAGGGCGAAAGCCUGAUCCAGCAAUGCCGCGUGUGUGAAGAAGGCCUUCGGGUUGUAAAGCACUUUUGUCCGGAAAGAAAUCCUUGGCCCUAAUACGGUCGGGGGAUGACGGUACCGGAAGAAUAAGCACCGGCUAACUACGUG
Molecule: ribosomal RNA, 486 nt
Filed under: uncultured bacterium
Lineage: Bacteria
Description: partial 16S ribosomal RNA
Rfam family: Bacterial small subunit ribosomal RNA
Source: RNAcentral